Molecule: ribosomal RNA, 253 nt
Filed under: uncultured bacterium
Lineage: Bacteria
Description: partial 16S ribosomal RNA
Rfam family: Bacterial small subunit ribosomal RNA
Source: RNAcentral
UACGCAGGGGGCUAGCGUUGCUCGGAAUUACUGGGCGUAAAGGGAGCGUAGGCGGAUAGUUUAGUCAGAGGUGAAAGCCCAGGGCUCAACCCUGGAAUUGCCUUUGAUACUGGCUAUCUUGAGUAUGGGAGAGGUUAGCGGAACUCCGAGUGUAGAGGUGAAAUUCGUAGAUAUUGGGAAGAACACCGGUGGCGAAGGCGGCGCUCUGGACCGAGACUGACGCUGAGGCGCGAAAGCGUGGGGAGCAAACAGG